This 1308-nucleotide ribosomal RNA is filed under the name Triticum aestivum (bread wheat). RNAcentral's name for it is "partial small subunit ribosomal RNA". Lineage: Eukaryota; Viridiplantae; Streptophyta; Magnoliopsida; Poales; Poaceae. The record is from RNAcentral.
AUGAUGAGGCGACCCCGGAGCACUCUGCUCGCGUCCCUCCGCGCGUGCUCUGCCAGCGGUUGGGCGUACGCACGAUCACCUUACGGGGGCCCCAUAUGCAUGCGCUUGCGCUGCGCACGUCGCCACACGAUGUCGUCCGUCUUCCCCUUUAAUUCCCGCAGCCAUUAUAACCUUAGUCUCUUCAACCUUUUGAUCGCGCCCCACAACACAACAAGCACACCCACGACGACACAUAGAGAGGGGAUGUCUAGUGGCGCUCCAAUGGAGUUUGGCGAGCAUAAUGUGGAGACCCACGCAAUGGAGACAGAUCUCUCGGUGGUGUACACUAUCGACCCGGUCGUGGUGAACGACUACAUAAACACCGUUGAGCAGUUGCUUGGUCAAGACACAUACAAGGUGGUCGGCAUCGACCUCCUGUACACCGCUGGUCGUCCCAACAUAGAUCAGAAGGUUGUCGUCGCCCAGUUGUGUUUUACUUUGGUGUGUGCAAAUUCCAUGGUUGUAGUAGCCACCUAUAGGUUGGGACGCAACGGCAAAGGUUUUGUAUGCUCGCAUCAAACAUACCCGGAGUGGAGCAGCCAUCUUUCACGCCAUCCUCAUCGACCAAACUAUUUCCAGGGGUUCAAAAUGGAUGCAAUUGCAUUUGAUCCAUUUCAACCGAUCGCAUAUCGCUUCAGCGACAACCUACGUGCCGGCUCAGUACACUUAUUCAAAAAAGUUGGUUUUGAACCAGCAGCUAUGCAUCUGCCAGUUGCAUUGCCAGUGCCAUGUGACUUUUACAUCGUCCUCCACUCGCGCACUGAAAUACUUCUUGCCAGGGCCAGCAUUAACAUCCCUUCAUUGCCGCCACGAUUCAUUGAUUUUAUAGAUGUCUACAGCCUCAGAAACAGGAUGCUUGCAGAUGCAUUGUAUCAUCUCACAAUGAAUUUUGCUGACAUGUCAGACGACCGUACCACACCAUACCGACAUGUGAUGCAUGGCAGUGGGCUAACAUUUUAUUGCUCAACCAGGAGGGAGUUUAUCUACCUACGUGUCUGGGACCAGCAUGUGUCACGCCACUUGAUGCGGUGGGGACUAGCAAAGCAGGGGCUCUGGACUUUAGGUGCCACACUGCUUGAGGUCAACAGAGCACAACACAACCAGCAGUCCUACGAGCUGGCAGCCUGCCGUGCGGCACUAGGAGAUGCUCAACCGGGCCAGCUUGAUUGUUCAACGAAUGAGCCAUGUUCACGUUCAACGAAUGAGGAGGGUUCAAGUCUGAUGCAAAAUUCACUUCGAUGCUCUAUAAUGAUGUUCAAAUCUAGAUGA